GACGCGGUGGCCUAAUGGUUAGCGCGAUGGACUCCGGAUCGAGCGGUCCUGGUUCAAGCAUUAGCCUGGGUCA
Non-coding RNA from Desmophyllum pertusum, 73 nucleotides. NCBI's taxonomy places the organism in Eukaryota, Metazoa, Cnidaria, Anthozoa, Scleractinia, Caryophylliidae. The record is from the annotation of a GenBank genome assembly.